UUAAACCCGUUUACGAGUAUCAAUUGGAGGGCAAGUCUGGUGCCAGCAGCCGCGGUAAUUCCAGCUCCAAUAGCGUAUAUUAAAAUUGUUGCAGUUAAAAAGCUCGUAGUUGGAUUUUUGCUGACUACUGUAGUGCGGCUCUUCUGAGCUUGCAGUAUUAGUUUGUUGGCUUUCUCUAUUGUUGGCCAGGUUCUGACUUCCAAUAGAGCUGUUACUUUGAGAAAAUUAGAGUGUUUCAAGCAGGCUUCUGCCUUGAAUACUUCAGCAUGGAAUAACAAGAAUGACUCCUGUCCUUCUUGUUGGUUUAAGGAUUUGAGUAAUGGUUAAGAGGAACAGUUGGGGGCAUUCGUAUUUAA
Molecule: ribosomal RNA, 356 nt
Filed under: uncultured apicomplexan
Lineage: Eukaryota; Apicomplexa
Description: SSU rRNA
Rfam family: Eukaryotic small subunit ribosomal RNA
Source: RNAcentral